This is a non-coding RNA of Hoeflea sp. IMCC20628, 157 nucleotides long. It matches the Rfam family "6S / SsrS RNA". Rfam says of the family: E. coli 6S RNA was the first non coding RNA to be sequenced, but its function was unknown until recently. NCBI's taxonomy places the organism in Bacteria, Pseudomonadati, Pseudomonadota, Alphaproteobacteria, Hyphomicrobiales, Rhizobiaceae. The record is from Rfam.
UGCGAUCUGCGCCCCUCGACAGGAUACACGAACCCUGGGGCCUUAAUUGAUCCAAAGGGUGCUGUCCCUGACCGGACUCGUGGGUCCGGACAUAUGGCGCCCACCUACGUUGUAGGUUCCCAGGAUCAAUAAAUCCAUCGGUUGCCGUGGAUCGCAC